UGGUUAAUUUUUGUUUGGAUUGGUGACUUUAUCUUUCAAAAAGCCCCGCCAACUUUGCGUUGGCUCUACACGCAUAUCUAUAUAUAUUUACAUUAUGCAUCAAUAAGAAAAGAAAAAAAACAAUACUCGACGCUGAGAACACGUUGUGGCAACGGAAAUCCGGAGCGUCUCAAGUUCUCUCCGCGCUGCUUCCCGUUGUGGUGGCUCUGACCGCCGUCGCCGCCCUCUCCAAGCCGUCGACGUUCACUUGAUCUUGGAACAACCUUGCGAGAAACAACAACACAUACUUGAGAGAGAGUUUACAUUGAGAGAGUCUCCAUGGCAGGUAGCUAGAUAGCUUUUUCAAUGUUCGGUAACAGGUUAUAUGAUUUAGGCCCGUACUAACUGUUUACAAUAGUCUUCUUGGAUUUACCACAGGAUAUACAGCGGAAGAUCUUGGAGGCAGCAUUCUCCGGGCCGAUCACCUUGAGGGCACUUUUGCGCCUCUCAUUCUGCUUCCAACUUUGUCGAGAGGUAAUUAUCGACAAACUGAAAGGCCCUCAAGUUCUAAUACUUGAGGGCAAUGGCCAUCGCGUGCCCAGCUCUAGCUGGAAUUGGUUUGAAAGAAGGUUGCAGGCGAUGGCAUGCGGCCCUCAGAUGGAAGUACUCUUGGCGAAUGAGCCAACUGCAAAUCUGUUGCAGCCCACCAUCUUGCCGGUCGAUGCCACGUAUUAUUCGUACAGACAGAAGUGUUUCUAUCUAGGCAGCAAGGCCAGCACACAGCCCAGUACGUUGCAAAUCCGAGAUGCAUUAGAUUUUUUACGGGGCCGAACCGCCGUGUAUAACGGCGUGCUGCUUUUUCCCCGGUUAGCUGGAGCAGGAGCAAACACAUGGUGGGAUGUGUAGCUUUUGUGACCCAUUGGGAUGUGUAGACAUGGUGGGAUGUGUAGCUUUUGUGACCCAUUCUUUUUCGCAGACAUUUUUACUGAUUUCUAGAUAUUGUUCUUUUUCGCAUUCGAUUGAUUUCUA
This is a long non-coding RNA of Salvia miltiorrhiza (redroot sage), 1008 nucleotides long. RefSeq lists it as uncharacterized. NCBI's taxonomy places the organism in Eukaryota, Viridiplantae, Streptophyta, Magnoliopsida, Lamiales, Lamiaceae. The record is from RefSeq and is a predicted model, not a curated record. The transcript has 5 exons.